CGGGGCGUAGCGCAGCCUGGUAGCGCACCACGCUGGGGGUGUGGUGGUCGCGAGUUCGAAUCUCGCCGCCCCGA
This 74-nucleotide transfer RNA is filed under the name Pseudofulvimonas gallinarii. It matches the Rfam family "tRNA". Rfam says of the family: Transfer RNA (tRNA) molecules are approximately 80 nucleotides in length. Their secondary structure includes four short double-helical elements and three loops (D, anti-codon, and T loops). Further hydrogen bonds mediate the characteristic L-shaped molecular structure. tRNAs have two regions of fundamental functional importance: the anti-codon, which is responsible for specific mRNA codon recognition, and the 3' end, to which the tRNAs corresponding amino acid is attached (by aminoacyl-tRNA synthetases). tRNAs cope with the degeneracy of the genetic code in two manners: having more than one tRNA (with a specific anti-codon) for a particular amino acid; and 'wobble' base-pairing, i.e. permitting non-standard base-pairing at the 3rd anti-codon position. Lineage: Bacteria; Pseudomonadati; Pseudomonadota; Gammaproteobacteria; Lysobacterales; Rhodanobacteraceae. The record is from Rfam by way of RNAcentral.